AUGGGUGGAUGCUCCGCUCCAAACUGCUCGAACUCUACAACUAUUGGAAAGCAGCUCUUUCGCUUUCCGAAAGACCCCGUGCGCAUGAGAAAGUGGCUGGUAAACUGUCGGCGUGAUUUUGUACCCACUCCCUGCUCCAGACUGUGCCAGGACCACUUUGAAGAAAGCCAGUUUGAGGAGAUCGCCAGAUCACCAGCAGGGGGAAGGAAACUCAAACCCAACGCUAUCCCCACACUCUUCAAUGUACCCGACCCUCCCUCUCCUGUCACCCCCCAAGCAGUGUUACCUGUUAAAAAUGAGCCAGUAGAAAAGGACUUGAACAUGGGGGAUCAUGGAUAUGCCCGCCGACAGCCACCUGUGGAUUCAGAGGAGGAUGGGGUUCAGCGGACAGAUGAGGAGCGACCCUGUUCUCUCUGCCAGCAUUAUAAAACCAAACUGGAGCAGCAACAGCAACACACAGUCAGACUACAGAGAGAGGCAGAGGAGAUGAAGAAACGUCUUUACAAACUGAGUAAAAUAGAGAAGGGGCUACAGGUGUUCCUGUUUGAGGAUCAGAUACGCGCCCUAACGUUGGCCAAGCGUUCUCGGAGGGCAGUGUGGUCCCAUGAUACUUUACUGACAGCCCGUAAAAUCCGCUGCGCAGUGGGGGUUAAAGGAUACGAGUACCUAAGGGAACUGGGCUACCCUUUGCCUUCUUACAGGACGCUGUGUAAUCGCCUGGAGCCCAAAAUGAUGGUGACCACGAGUAUGCAGGACGAACUAGCAGAGCUCGGCCUGGGCAUCAUAACAGCUUGUGACAGUCCAGAGGGCAACGUGACGAGUGAUGAACGACUGAUUGGAGUCAUGACCUGAGACACUGUGUUUGCAAGAAACUGCACUGAUGCUUGACUGUUAAAUCAGCCAAAGGCGGGACUCGCAGGAGAUGUGUGUUUACUGGGUUAAGUUAUUUGGGGUUGUUGUCAUUACAUUUUGAAACCAUUUGCAUAAAUACCACAACAGUCUGGAGAUGAUUCACUAACUAUUAUGUGUUUUUUUUGUUUUAACAAAAAUAAAUAUUUUGGUCUUGCUGCA
Molecule: long non-coding RNA, 1071 nt
Organism: Cyprinus carpio (common carp)
Lineage: Eukaryota; Metazoa; Chordata; Actinopteri; Cypriniformes; Cyprinidae
Source: Ensembl